UACGUAGGGGGCAAGCGUUGUCCGGAAUUAUUGGGCGUAAAGAGCGUGUAGGCUGCUCUGCAAGUCGGAUGUGAAAGCCCUGGGCUCAACCUAGGAAGUGCAUUCGAAACUGCAAAGCUGGAGUCCUGGAGAGGAAGGCGGAAUUCUCGGUGUAGAGGUGAAAUUCGUAGAUAUCGAGAGGAACACCGGUGGCGAAGGCGGCCUUCUGGACAGUGACUGACGCUGAGACGCGAAAGCGUGGGGAGCAAACAGG
Molecule: ribosomal RNA, 253 nt
Filed under: uncultured bacterium
Lineage: Bacteria
Description: partial 16S ribosomal RNA
Rfam family: Bacterial small subunit ribosomal RNA
Source: RNAcentral